GGGGCUGUAGCUCAGUGGUAGAGCACUUGCCUAGCAUGUAUGAGGCACUGGGUUCAAUCCUCAGCACCACA
RNAcentral lists this transfer RNA (71 nucleotides) under Marmota monax (woodchuck). RNAcentral describes it as "tRNA.Ala". It matches the Rfam family "tRNA". Rfam says of the family: Transfer RNA (tRNA) molecules are approximately 80 nucleotides in length. Their secondary structure includes four short double-helical elements and three loops (D, anti-codon, and T loops). Lineage: Eukaryota; Metazoa; Chordata; Mammalia; Rodentia; Sciuridae. The record is from RNAcentral.